GUCUUUUCUGCUGAACGAUCUAGAACGCGGAUCGAUAUAAUUGUGAAUAACUCUACUUGUGGACGACGUAGCGACUUGAAACCAACGCCAUUGCACGGGAAAAAUUACCGCGCUUCCGGUGAACGUGAAGUCGUCCUUCUGUGCCAUGAGGAUCGAACAGCGUGAUUAUAGAUCCAAUAGAGCAGAUGCAGUCACACGGCUUUAGGGGAUGCGAUGCUUGCGGAUGCCGCGCCAGAGGAUUCAGCUCGGGCCUUUCUGAGUCGGCUCGAAGAGACGAACACUCGACUCUAAGGGGAUGCUGCGUCGGAG
Long non-coding RNA from Odontomachus brunneus, 309 nucleotides. RefSeq lists it as uncharacterized. NCBI's taxonomy places the organism in Eukaryota, Metazoa, Arthropoda, Insecta, Hymenoptera, Formicidae. The record is from RefSeq and is a predicted model, not a curated record. The transcript is spliced from 3 exons.